Non-coding RNA from Planctomycetes bacterium RBG_16_64_10, 46 nucleotides. NCBI's taxonomy places the organism in Bacteria, Pseudomonadati, Planctomycetota. The record is from Rfam.
CCUGUGGCUAACGCCACAGGCUUUAACGUGCCGCCGCCCUGCGGCU